UGAGGUAUAGCUCAGUGGUACAGCACUUGCCUAGUACACAUGAAGCCCUGGGUUCCAGCCCUAGUACCGUGG
This 72-nucleotide transfer RNA is filed under the name Fukomys damarensis (Damara mole-rat). It matches the Rfam family "tRNA". Rfam says of the family: Transfer RNA (tRNA) molecules are approximately 80 nucleotides in length. Their secondary structure includes four short double-helical elements and three loops (D, anti-codon, and T loops). Lineage: Eukaryota; Metazoa; Chordata; Mammalia; Rodentia; Bathyergidae. The record is from Rfam by way of RNAcentral.